Molecule: ribosomal RNA, 427 nt
Filed under: uncultured bacterium
Lineage: Bacteria
Description: bacterial SSU rRNA
Rfam family: Bacterial small subunit ribosomal RNA
Source: RNAcentral
ACUGAAUAGAUACCCAGGUAGUCCUGGCCGUAAACUCUGAGUACUGAAUUGAAGGAUCCUCCAUAGUCCUUCAGUUGAAAGCGAAAGUAGUUAAGUACUCCGCCUGGGGAGGUAUGGUCGCAAGGCUGAAACUCAAAGAAAUUAGACGGGGGCGUCACACAAGCGGUGGAGGAUGUGGCUUAAUUCGAGGCUACGCGAAGAACCUUAUCCCAGUCUUGACAUGUUUGGAUUAACCCUUGGAAACAGGGGCCGACGCCUCGGUGGUAACGAAGACACAGGUGCUGCAUGGCUGUCGUCAGCUCGUGUCGUGAGAUGUCGGGUUAAGGUUCCCUUAACGUACGCGAAACCCUUGUCUCUAGUUGCCAGCGGGUCGAUGCCGGGAACGUCUAGAGAGACUGCCGGUGUUAAACCGGAGGAAGGUGGGGAU